GACGAACGCUGGCGGCGUGCCUAAUACAUGCAAGUUGAGCGCUGAAGGUUGGUACUUGUACCAACUGGAUGAGCAGCGAACGGGUGAGUAACGCGUGGGGAAUCUGCCUUUGAGCGGGGGACAACAUUUGGAAACGAAUGCUAAUACCGCAUAAAAACUUUAAACACAAGUUUUAAGUUUGAAAGAUGCAAUUGCAUCACUCAAAGAUGAUCCCGCGUUGUAUUAGCUAGUUGGUGAGGUAAAGGCUCACCAAGGCGAUGAUACAUAGCCGACCUGAGAGGGUGAUCGGCCACAUUGGGACUGCGACACGGCCCAAACUCCUACGGGAGGCAGCAGUAGGGAAUCUUCGGCAAUGGACGAAAGUCUGACCGAGCAAUGCCGCGUGAGUGAAGAAGGUUUUCGGAUCGUAAAACUCUGUUGGUAGAGAAGAACGUUGGUGAGAGUGGAAAGCUCAUCAAGUGACGGUAACUACCCAGAAAGGGACGGCUAACUACGUG
RNAcentral lists this ribosomal RNA (497 nucleotides) under uncultured bacterium. Its description in RNAcentral is "partial 16S ribosomal RNA". It matches the Rfam family "Bacterial small subunit ribosomal RNA", at positions 28 to 507 of the family's 1533-position model. The record is from RNAcentral.